UGGGGAAUAUUGCACAAUGGGCGCAAGCCUGAUGCAGCCAUGCCGCGUGUGUGAAGAAGGCCUUCGGGUUGUAAAGCACUUUCAGCGGGGAGGAAGGCGAUAAGGUUAAUAACCUCAUCGAUUGACGUUACCCGCAGAAGAAGCACCGGCUAACUCCGUGCCAGCAGCCGCGGUAAUACGGAGGGUGCAAGCGUUAAUCGGAAUUACUGGGCGUAAAGCGCACGCAGGCGGUCUGUCAAGUCGGAUGUGAAAUCCCCGGGCUCAACCUGGGAACUGCAUUCGAAACUGGCAGGCUAGAGUCUUGUAGAGGGGGGUAGAAUUCCAGGUGUAGCGGUGAAAUGCGUAGAGAUCUGGAGGAAUACCGGUGGCGAAGGCGGCCCCCUGGACAAAGACUGACGCUCAGGUGCGAAAGCGUGGGGAACAAACAGG
This 429-nucleotide ribosomal RNA is filed under the name Chloroflexota bacterium. RNAcentral's name for it is "Chloroflexi bacterium partial 16S ribosomal RNA". It matches the Rfam family "Bacterial small subunit ribosomal RNA", at positions 355 to 776 of the family's 1533-position model. The record is from RNAcentral. Lineage: Bacteria; Bacillati; Chloroflexota.